RNAcentral lists this ribosomal RNA (460 nucleotides) under uncultured bacterium. Its description in RNAcentral is "partial 16S ribosomal RNA". It matches the Rfam family "Bacterial small subunit ribosomal RNA", at positions 338 to 795 of the family's 1533-position model. The record is from RNAcentral.
CCUACGGGUGGCAGCAGUGAGGAAUAUUGGUCAAUGGACGGAAGUCUGAACCAGCCAUGUCGCGUGCAGGAAGACGGCCCUAUGAGUUGUAAACUGCUUUUGUACAAGGGUAAACCUGAACACGUGUAUUCAGCUGAAAGUAUUGUACCAAUAAGGAUCGGCUAACACCGUGCCAGCAGCCGCGGUAAUACGGAGGAUCCAAGCGUUAUCCGGAUUUAUUGGGUUUAAAGGGUGCGUAGGCGGAUUGAUAAGUCAGAGGUGAAAUGUCCGAGCUUAACUCGGGAACUGCCUCUAAUACUGGUGACCUAGAGAGUAGAUACGGUAGGCGGAAUGUAUGGUGUAGCGGUGAAAUGCUUAGAGAUCAUGAAGAACACCGAUUGCGAAGGCAGCUUACCAAUGUAUAUCUGACGUUGAGGCACGAAAGCGUGGGGAGCAAACAGGAUUAGAUACCCUAGUAGUC